AGGAGGGGGUCGAGCGCGAGAUGGGCUGCGGGACCGUGGGUUCCAUUUACCUAAGGGCAAAUGUUAGUAGAUACGUGGAUUGACUGAGGUGCGCUUGCAGGAUUCACACAGGCUCUCUCUUCAGGGAUGACAUCAUCGGCUCACACCAGUCUUCCAGGACCACCUUCUGGAUGUUCAAGUACCUGCUGCGCACCUGCCUCCUGAAGGGAGGAGCAUGGAUUCCAGGAACCUGCCAGCAUACAGAACAACUUCUUGUGGACCCCCCUGGACCAGGACAGCGAGGGACAAGUGACAAAGAGGAUCACCAGAGUCCAGCUAGUCUCUCUCUGGGGUUCAAACCUUGAACCAAUGCCCUAGUGAGGGGGCACUGGCUGUGACCCUUGACCUUUGCUCUGCUUGUGUCUUGAGUCUGAGCCCUUUCCUGUACAUCUGUGCUUGUGUUCAUCUGCUAGUGAACUGGAGUGCUUCCCUCCCCAAAGGGGGGUCGUCCCUUUGUGACUGACCAUGUUGUCCUAACAAUGUCCUGAGCAGAAGGAUCCCUUUGG
Grammomys surdaster is the source of this 545-nucleotide long non-coding RNA. RefSeq lists it as uncharacterized. The transcript has 3 exons. NCBI's taxonomy places the organism in Eukaryota, Metazoa, Chordata, Mammalia, Rodentia, Muridae. The record is from RefSeq and is a predicted model, not a curated record.